GUACAGUGAUGCAUUUUAUUCAUCAACAUCAAUCUGAAAAAGCAUAGAUGUAUGGAGAAAUAAUGACUUAAGCACA
Urocitellus parryii (Arctic ground squirrel) is the source of this 76-nucleotide small nucleolar RNA. Its record names the gene SNORD63. It matches the Rfam family "Small nucleolar RNA SNORD63". Rfam says of the family: snoRNA U63 is found in both humans and mice. NCBI's taxonomy places the organism in Eukaryota, Metazoa, Chordata, Mammalia, Rodentia, Sciuridae. The record is from Ensembl.